ACGGGCUGUAAAACAGCCGCCUUUGUGAAUCUUGUCUCUGUGAGUCUUCGUUCAAGUCCCUGAAGCGCUGUGAGCCGCGGUGGAGGCCACUGGUGGGCUGUGCGGGGCCAUCUUCGCUGGACUCCGGGACUUCCACAAAGGUACGCUCCUCCGUGAGUGAGGUCAUGAUUGGGGUCCCGUCUCGGGAAGGUGCUAGAAAACGCUGUUCUGCCAUCUUGCCAACAUCGUUCUCUCCUGACUGCGUCUCUGCGUUUGUGAGUUUGGAAUUUUUAUUUUCUCCUGAUUGUUCACAUUGGAUUUUCUCUGGGCCAAGGUCUUUUCUUUCCAUGUCCUAACCAGGGAUUGGCACUUUUUUUUUUUUUUUUUCUGAAAUAGGCCAGGUAGUACAUAUUUUCAACUUUGUGGCCCCUGCCGCCUCUGUCCAGAGGACUGCAGUCUGAUGUAACGUGGAGGCAGCCCCCUAUGCGGUACAGGAGCCGAUGGGGGUGGCCAGCUUCCAGUAAAAAAUUAAGUUACGCAAACGGGUGGUGGCCUAGACUGGGCCACGGGCCACCCAACAUCUGUGGCAUCAUCCUAGCCCAGCCCCACCCAGAGAGAGGGAGGUGGAUGAAACAGAAUGAGCCUGUUUUUGGCUCUGAUCGCUUCAACAGGAGGUGACUGGGAAAGUGUCAGUGUCAACACAUCACCGUUCAACGUCGCGCCCUGUGACGUCCGAGCUCGGUGACCCUGCACGGCCUUCAUUAAUCUGUCAGGGUGCACAUGUCGAUAAUAUUGCUAAUUGUGGAGAGGGUUUUGUUUUUUGUUUUUUGUUUUUCCUAAUAUGUUCACCUUUGAAGGAGUUAGGUAGAGCCCAAAGGGGACAGAUUUGAAGCUGACUCUGCAGUCUUCCCAGGAAUAAAAAAAUGAGGUUGAACAGAAGAUGAAAUAAAGACAACACCUGGUGUUUGAAAGGAGGGACCCCGCUGAGCUGACAUGAAAAUCUCACAUCGUAGUUCUAUCUCUUUUGAAAAAGCAUUGGCGAGACUGUCUGCGAGACCGAUGUCAGGGUUUGUCCUGCCUUGGGUUCUGUUAAUCUCCAGUUCCGGGGUCUUGCCCUAGAGUAGACUUAAUCAAUAUUUGCCUAUUGACAGAGGGUUUUGAUGCUUAUUCCUCUGUGGGGCUGGGGCUGACUUGAACGUACUCCAUUCUGGGACCAUCCGCUGCCAGUUUUUCAGCAAGAUAACCUGGAACUGUGUUCACACUGUGCAGGAGGUCAGCUUCCCAUUUCUAGCUGUCUGAGAAAGUCUUAAUGAUUCAUUGACAUGUGUGGCAUUUGCAACAUGAUCUUUAAUUACUUUCCAUUCUGA
Molecule: non-coding RNA, 1346 nt
Organism: Sus scrofa (pig)
Lineage: Eukaryota; Metazoa; Chordata; Mammalia; Artiodactyla; Suidae
Source: RefSeq, a predicted model, not a curated record